Molecule: long non-coding RNA, 1281 nt
Organism: Daphnia carinata
Lineage: Eukaryota; Metazoa; Arthropoda; Branchiopoda; Diplostraca; Daphniidae
Exons: 2
Source: RefSeq, a predicted model, not a curated record
ACGACAAUUUGAAAUGCGGUCCAGCUGUCAGUUUCCUCUUCUUUCUUUUCCCUUCUUUCUCGCGCACUGUGGGACGGACGAGGGGGAGAAAAGAAAAGGAAAAGUUUCUCGGGUAACGGGAGGAAAUGCGAACGGAGAUCCAAAAAGAGGAGAAAAAUCUAACGCAAUAAACGAAUGGCGACGAGCCGGAGACGGACGCAACAAAAGAAGUUGAAUCGAAUCAGCCGAGCGGAAAAAAAAUCGGGAGGAAAAGAAAAAAAAAAGGAUCGAAUUUGGAUUCCUUUAUCGACGUAGGGAGGACAGUGUCAGUGUCCUCUGUCGAAAAUAACAGAUGGAGGAAGAUGAAUGUAAUCAGAGGGAAUGAAACAAAACAUUACUGAAAGGAAACAAAAACAAGAAACGUGGAAGGAAAAGGAGAGAGAAACGCACACGGAAAAAGAGAAAUGGACAAAAAAAAAAAGGAAAAGAAGAAAGAAAAGAAAACAAAAAGGGAAUGAUUAGCCGUUCUCGUUAUUCCUCAGACUGGGCACGACGAGUAACAAGCCUCUUUGCUCGUCCGUCAGCACAGGCUUGGGCUUCUGCUGCUGAUGUUUUCGUUGCUUCGGCUGGACCAUUUUGAGAGCGCCCGACUUGUUGUCAAUCCUAUGGCCGACGUUGUUGCUUCCCAUCGGCGCUCUUUCUUCUCGUCGGUGCACAUUCACAUUUUCUAUCGUCUUUGCCUCGCUAAUGUUCUCCUUUUGAUUUCGCUUUUUUUUUUCAAAACUAGGCCUCUUCACUUGGAAGUUUCCAAUUCGUCGUGAGACGUUUGAAAUCGCUUUAAUUUCAAACUGCAAUUGGAGAGAUGCAAUUGCAAAGCUGCGUGUAUGUAACUCAACACUUUUCUUGUUUCACUUUUGUUUCUCCUUUUUAUUUUUUGUUUAGGUGUGGCUUGCUGGACCCACACGUAGAGACGCACACACACAUACACACAGACACACAACCGUCCGGGCGGAAAAUCCACUCUAGACUAGAAAAGCCAUAUCAACUUCUGAACCUGAAAUACAAACGGCCAACGACGAUGAUGCUUCCUCUAUGUGUACGGUUCGACGCAUGCGCAAUGCUCCAAACUCACGCCGGAAAAAAAAAAAAAAAGCAAACAAGAGAGGAUGAGAUGGUGAGAAAUGCACUAAAAGUUAUUUAUUAAAACUCUACGAUCCUGGAAAAGAAAAAAACAAACAAACAUGGAAAACGGAAGGAAGACAUUCGAUGUACGGCCGUUUUCUGCAGUCAUCAAUCUUCCAU